GCCUGGCUGGCUCAGUUGGUAGAGCAAGUGACUCUUGGUCUCAGGGUUGUGAGUUUGAGCCCCAUGUUGGGUG
RNAcentral lists this transfer RNA (73 nucleotides) under Ursus americanus (American black bear). It matches the Rfam family "tRNA". Rfam says of the family: Transfer RNA (tRNA) molecules are approximately 80 nucleotides in length. Their secondary structure includes four short double-helical elements and three loops (D, anti-codon, and T loops). Lineage: Eukaryota; Metazoa; Chordata; Mammalia; Carnivora; Ursidae. The record is from Rfam by way of RNAcentral. RNAcentral also lists the same sequence under 1 other name.